GAUGAAGAACGCAGCGAAAUGCGAUAAGUAAUGUGAAUUGCAGAAUUCAGUGAAUCAUCGAAUCUUUGAACGCACAUUGCGCCCCCCAGUAUUCUGGCGGGCAUGCCUGUUCGAGCGUCAUUUCAACCAUCAAGCCCUGCUUGUGUUGGGGUCCUGCGGCUGCCCGCAGGCCCUGAAAACCAGUGGCGGGCUCGCUAGUCACACCGAGCGCAGUAGCACAUCUCGCUCAGGGCGUGCUGCGGGUUCCGGCCGUAAAAAGCCUUAUUUACCCAAGGUUGACCUCGGAUCAGGUAGGAAGACCCGCUGAACUUAAGCAUAUCAAUAAGCGGAGGA
RNAcentral lists this unclassified non-coding RNA (333 nucleotides) under soil metagenome. RNAcentral describes it as "partial contains 5.8S ribosomal RNA, internal transcribed spacer 2, and large subunit ribosomal RNA". The stretch from base 1 to 120 matches the Rfam family "5.8S ribosomal RNA", at positions 35 to 154 of the family's 154-position model. The record is from RNAcentral.